Molecule: unclassified non-coding RNA, 319 nt
Organism: Ochotona princeps (American pika)
Lineage: Eukaryota; Metazoa; Chordata; Mammalia; Lagomorpha; Ochotonidae
Gene: 7SK
Rfam family: 7SK RNA
About the family: 7SK was discovered as an abundant small nuclear RNA in the mid-70s but a possible function has only recently been suggested.
Source: Ensembl
GGAUGUGAGGGCGACAUCUGUCACCCCAGCGAUCACCAUGUUGAGUGGCUGAUCUGGCUGGCUAGGGGUGUCCCCUUCCUGCCUCGCUGCUCCACAUGCGUUCCUCCUGAAGCUGUGUGUUUGGUCCAAGAGGACGACCAUCCCCGCCGCAGAGGACUGGUCUUCAGUCAAGGUGUACAAGUAGCUGUGCUCCCCGCUAGAACCUCCAAACAAGCACUCAAAUGCUGGGACAAUAGUUUCCUUCUUGGCAUUGUAGUUAUGUCAUGAUAACCACAGCAAAGCAUAGUGACAGAGUCUUGGAGAAGACUUUUUUUUUUUU